RNAcentral lists this ribosomal RNA (448 nucleotides) under uncultured bacterium. RNAcentral's name for it is "SSU rRNA". It matches the Rfam family "Bacterial small subunit ribosomal RNA", at positions 26 to 518 of the family's 1533-position model. The record is from RNAcentral.
AGAGCGAACGCUGGCGGCAGGCCUAACACAUGCAAGUCGAGCGCCCGUAGCAAUACGGGAGCGGCAGACGGGAUAGUAACACGUGGGAACGCGCCCUUCGGUUCGGAAUAACUCAGGGAAACUUGGGCUAAUACCGGAUACGCCCUUACGGGGAAAGAUUUAUUGCCGAAGGAACGGCCCGCGUCCGAUUAGCUAGUUGGUGAGGUAAUGGCUCACCAAGGCGACGAUCGGUAGCUGGUCUGAGAGGAUGACCAGCAUCACUGGGACUGAGACACGGCCCAGACUCCUACGGGAGGCAGCAGUGGGGAAUAUUGCACAAUGGGCGCAAGCCUGAUGCAGCGACGCCGCGUGGGGAUGAAGGCCUUCGGGUUGUAAACCCCUUUCACCAGGAGCGAAUUCAGACGGUACCGUGGGAAGAAGCGCCGGCUAACUACGUGCCAGCAGCCGC